This 1818-nucleotide ribosomal RNA is filed under the name Triticum aestivum (bread wheat). RNAcentral's name for it is "partial small subunit ribosomal RNA". The record is from RNAcentral. Lineage: Eukaryota; Viridiplantae; Streptophyta; Magnoliopsida; Poales; Poaceae.
AUGAUUCACCAAAUGAAACCUCUUUCUGAUGAAGACUCACAGAUACUCUUCCAUAGAAGAAUAUUUCAAAGCGAGGAGAAAUGUCCAGAAGAUUUGCAAGCAGUAUCAAGAGAGAUACUGAAGAAAUGUGGUGGAGUACCAUUAGCCAUCAUUACAAUAGCUAGCCUUCUAGUCAGUAACCAAAGGAUAAAGCAGAAAGAAGAAUGGAUGCAUGUGCACAGUUCGAUGGGCCGUGGAGUUACAGAAGGUGGUAUUGUGAAGGACAUGAAGAGGAUAUUAUCACUCAGCUAUUAUGAUUUGCCAUCCCAUCUAAAGCCUUGUUUAUUAUAUCUAAGCAUCUUUCCUGAAGACUUUGAGAUUAACAGAGAUUUGCUGAUAUGGAGGUGGCUUGCUGAAGGGUUUAUCCAAUGUGACAAAGAUGAAACCAGGCUGUUUGAGAUCGGAAAGAGCUACUUCAACGAGCUUAUGAACAGGAGCUUGAUCCAGCCAGCGGAAACCAAUUAUGAAGGAACAGUAGUAACUUGCCGUAUACAUGAUAUGGUGCUUGACCUUAUAUGCUCGCUGUCAAGUGAGGAGAAUUUUAUCUCCAUAUUGGAUAAUGCUCAGUGGCAUGCACCUAAUCUGCAAAGGAAACUUCGCAGGCUAUCACUUCAUAAUAUCAAGGCAAAGUGUCGGAACCAUCAGUUUGAUAGCACUAGGCUGUCAAAAGUGAGGACCUUUGCUGUUUUUUCUCCUGUUACCUGUGAUUGGUUGCCAUCUCUCUCAAGCUUUCAAUUUUUGCGUGUGCUAGAUCUUGGAAAUUGUGGCAGCCAUGAAAGUAGCUCUGGCAUCAGCCUCAAGUAUGUAGGGAAUUUAAUUCACCUAAGGUACCUAGGGCUCAAGGAUGCAGAUGUUCGCGAACUCCCUGUGGACAUAGGCAAGUUGCAGCUCUUGCAGACACUGGAUAUAGGAGGCACUAUUAUAGAAGAAUUACCUUCAAGUGUUGUUCAGCUCAGAAAUUUGAUAUGCCUACGUGUCAAUUAUAGGGUGAGGCUGCCAAAAGGAAUGGGGAGCUUGAUGUCCCUUGAAGUGCUGGAACAAGUAGGAUUAUCCUCAUCUCCUCACAUUGCGGAAGAGCUGAGCCAUCUGACAGAGGUUAGGACACUCAGUAUUGACUGUGCUAACAUGGACGAGGAUCUGAUUGAUAUAUUAAUCAAGUCUCUAGGCAACCUGCACAAAUUGCAAAAUCUGCGUAUUGAUGAUGGUGGCAGAUUGAUAAAUCGCAUGCGUGAAAGCUGGGUGCCCCCUCCAAACCUCCGUAGUUUUGAUUCAUGGAGCAUCUCUUCUUCUUCGUCGUUCCUGAGACUUCCAAAGUGGGUUAAUUCAAGGUCGCUUCCCCACCUCUCCCGCCUGGAAAUAGAUGUGGAAGAACUGCAAGGGGAUGACAUUCAGAUCAUUGGGAUGCUGCCUGCUCUUCGGUUUCUGCGGCUGCGUGCAAGUCGCGUGAUGGGAAGGUUGGUUGUGAGGGCCGAUGCAUUCCCAUCUGCGAGAUGCUGCAUAUUCUGGGAGUUUCUGACGCCGCCGUGCCUUUUUCCACCUGGAGCCAUGCCAGGGGUUCGGCAUCUUGAGUUCCAGGUAUCUGCGCGGUCGAUCGCGAGUGGCGAGGUUGACUGCGGCCUGGGGCACCUCCCUUCUCUCGAGCAUCUUCAGGUUUCUCUGUGGCGUGAGAAUUCCAGCGAUGAAGAGAUGGAGACAGCCGAGGCUUGGCUGAGGCGGGCAGCAGAAGCCCAUCCAAAACGUCCCACCAUGAAAAUGACAUGCCUCUGCCGCCGGGCUUGA